GAGGUUGGGAGAGGGAUGCGGAAUUCCAGGUGUAGCGGUGAAAUGCGUAGAUAUCUGGAGGAACACCGGUGGCGAAGGCGGCAUCCUGGACCAACACUGACGCUGAGGAGCGAAAGCCAGGGGAGCAAACGGGAUUAGAUACCCCGGUAGUCCUGGCCCUAAACGAUGAAUGCUUGGUGUGGCGGGUAUCGAUCCCUGCCGUGCCGAAGCUAACGCAUUAAGCAUUCCGCCUGGGGAGUACGGUCGCAAGGCUGAAACUCAAAUGAAUUGACGG
This 274-nucleotide ribosomal RNA is filed under the name uncultured bacterium. Its description in RNAcentral is "partial 16S ribosomal RNA". It matches the Rfam family "Bacterial small subunit ribosomal RNA", at positions 644 to 916 of the family's 1533-position model. The record is from RNAcentral.